Molecule: ribosomal RNA, 1372 nt
Filed under: uncultured bacterium
Lineage: Bacteria
Description: bacterial SSU rRNA
Rfam family: Bacterial small subunit ribosomal RNA
Source: RNAcentral
GAUGAACGCUGGCGGCGUGCCUAAUACAUGCAAGUCGAGCGAACGGACGAGAAGCUUGCUUCUCUGAUGUUAGCGGCGGACGGGUGAGUAACACGUGGAUAACCUACCUAUAAGACUGGGAUAACUUCGGGAAACCGGAGCUAAUACCGGAUAAUAUUUUGAACCGCAUGGUUCAAAAGUGAAAGACGGUCUUGCUGUCACUUAUAGAUGGAUCCGCGCUGCAUUAGCUAGUUGGUAAGGUAACGGCUUACCAAGGCAACGAUGCAUAGCCGACCUGAGAGGGUGAUCGGCCACACUGGAACUGAGACACGGUCCAGACUCCUACGGGAGGCAGCAGUAGGGAAUCUUCCGCAAUGGGCGAAAGCCUGACGGAGCAACGCAGCGUGAGUGAUGAAGGUCUUCGGAUCGUAAAACUCUGUUAUUAGGGAAGAACAUAUGUGUAAGUAACUGUGCACAUCUUGACGGUACCUAAUCAGAAAGCCACGGCUAACUACGUGCCAGCAGCCGCGGUAAUACGUAGGUGGCAAGCGUUAUCCGGAAUUAUUGGGCGUAAAGCGCGCGUAGGCGGUUUUUUAAGUCUGAUGUGAAAGCCCACGGCUCAACCGUGGAGGGUCAUUGGAAACUGGAAAACUUGAGUGCAGAAGAGGAAAGUGGAAUUCCAUGUGUAGCGGUGAAAUGCGCAGAGAUAUGGAGGAACACCAGUGGCGAAGGCGACUUUCUGGUCUGUAACUGACGCUGAUGUGCGAAAGCGUGGGGAUCAAACAGGAUUAGAUACCCUGGUAGUCCACGCCGUAAACGAUGAGUGCUAAGUGUUAGGGGGUUUCCGCCCCUUAGUGCUGCAGCUAACGCAUUAAGCACUCCGCCUGGGGAGUACGACCGCAAGGUUGAAACUCAAAGGAAUUGACGGGGACCCGCACAAGCGGUGGAGCAUGUGGUUUAAUUCGAAGCAACGCGAAGAACCUUACCAAAUCUUGACAUCCUUUGACAACUCUAGAGAUAGAGCCUUCCCCUUCGGGGGACAAAGUGACAGGUGGUGCAUGGUUGUCGUCAGCUCGUGUCGUGAGACGUUGGGUUAAGUCCCGCAACGAGCGCAACCCUUAAGCUUAGUUGCCAUCAUUAAGUUGGGCACUCUAAGUUGACUGCCGGUGACAAACCGGAGGAAGGUGGGGAUGACGUCAAAUCAUCAUGCCCCUUAUGAUUUGGGCUACACACGUGCUACAAUGGACAAUACAAAGGGCAGCGAAACCGCGAGGUCAAGCAAAUCCCAUAAAGUUGUUCUCAGUUCGGAUUGUAGUCUGCAACUCGACUACAUGAAGCUGGAAUCGCUAGUAAUCGUAGAUCAGCAUGCUACGGUGAAUACGUUCCCGGGUCU